CGCCUGUUUAUCAAAAACAUGUCUUGUAGUUUUUUUUAUAAGUCUAUCCUGCUCAGUGAUUUUUAAAUAGCCGCAGUAUUUUAACUGUGCUAAGGUAGCAUAAUAAUUAGUCUUUUAAUUGAGGUCUGGAAUGAAUGGAUUCACGAGGAAUAUACUUUAUUAAUUUAAUUUUUUUUGAAUUUUAUAUUUUUGUUAAAAAGCUUAAGUUAUAAAGAGUGACGAUAAGACCCUAUAGAUCUUUAAAAUUUUUUUUUUUUAAUUUUUUUUGUUGUUUAUUGUUUAUUUAAAUUAAUUUUUUUUGUUGGGGAGAUAGAUAAAAAUUUUAACUUUAUUUUUUUUUUACUUUUUUUGUGGUUUUUUGAUCCUUAAUUUUGGAUUAUAAGAAUAAGAUACCUUAGGGAUAACAGCGUUAUAAGUCUGGAAAGUUCAAAUUUAUAGAUUUGUUUGCGACCUCGAUGUUGGAUUAACUUAAUUUUGUGGGGUAAGUUUUACAAUUUUAGGUCUGUUCGACUUUAAAUAGUUACAUGAUCUGAGUUCAGACCGG
RNAcentral lists this ribosomal RNA (544 nucleotides) under Tonga westwoodi. RNAcentral describes it as "partial 16S ribosomal RNA". The stretch from base 400 to 544 matches the Rfam family "Bacterial large subunit ribosomal RNA", at positions 2473 to 2619 of the family's 2925-position model. Lineage: Eukaryota; Metazoa; Arthropoda; Insecta; Hemiptera; Issidae. The record is from RNAcentral.